This 253-nucleotide ribosomal RNA is filed under the name uncultured bacterium. RNAcentral describes it as "partial 16S ribosomal RNA". It matches the Rfam family "Bacterial small subunit ribosomal RNA", at positions 524 to 776 of the family's 1533-position model. The record is from RNAcentral.
CACGUAGGGGGCAAGCGUUAUCCGGAAUGAUUGGGCGUAAAGCGUCUGUAGGUGGCUUUUUAAGUCCGCCGUCAAAUCCCAGGGCUCAACUCUGGACAGGCGGUGGAAACUACCAAGCUGGAGUACGGUAGGGGCAGAGGGAAUUUCCGGUGGAGCGGUGAAAUGCGUAGAUAUCGAGAGGAACACCUGCGGCGAAGGCGGGUUGCUGGGCUGACACUGACGCUGAGGCGCGAAAGCUAGGGGAGCGAACGGG